Molecule: ribosomal RNA, 504 nt
Filed under: uncultured bacterium
Lineage: Bacteria
Description: bacterial SSU rRNA
Rfam family: Bacterial small subunit ribosomal RNA
Source: RNAcentral
ACUCAAAUGAAUAGACGGGGGCCCGCACAAGCGGUGGAGUAUGUGGUUUAAUUCGAUGCAACGCGAAGAACCUUACCUGGUCUUGACAUCCCGGAAAUCCCUUGGAAACUUGGGAGUGCUUCCAUUAGGAAGAGUCCGGAGACAGGUGCUGCAUGGCUGUCGUCAGCUCGUGUCGUGAGAUGUUGGGUUAAGUCCCGCAACGAGCGCAACCCUUGCCUUUAGUUGCCAGCAGUUCGGCUGGGCACUCUAAAGGGACUGCCGGUGUCAAACCGGAGGAAGGUGGGGAUGACGUCAAGUCCUCAUGGCCUUUAUGACCAGGGCUACACACGUACUACAAUGGCCGAUACAAAGGGCAGCGACAUUGCGAAAUGAAGCCAAUCCCAUAAAAUCGGUCUCAGUCCGGAUUGGAGUCUGCAACUCGACUCCAUGAAGUUGGAAUCGCUAGUAAUCGUGGAUCAGCAUGCCACGGUGAAUACGUUCCCGGGCCUUGCACACACCGCCCGU